RNAcentral lists this non-coding RNA (112 nucleotides) under Romboutsia hominis. RNAcentral describes it as "TPP riboswitch aptamer (THI element)". It matches the Rfam family "TPP riboswitch aptamer (THI element)". From Rfam's summary of the family: Vitamin B(1) in its active form thiamin pyrophosphate (TPP) is an essential coenzyme that is synthesised by coupling of pyrimidine and thiazole moieties in bacteria. The previously detected thiamin-regulatory element, thi box was extended, resulting in a new, highly conserved RNA secondary structure, the THI element, which is widely distributed in eubacteria and also occurs in some archaea. The record is from Rfam by way of RNAcentral. Lineage: Bacteria; Bacillati; Bacillota; Clostridia; Peptostreptococcales; Peptostreptococcaceae.
AAUAAAAGCUAGGGGAGCUAUGAUUGGAUAGCUGAGAAGUAAAGCCAUAACUUUCAGACUCUAAGAACCUGAUUAAGAUAAUUCUUACGUAGGGAAGCUCGUAUAUUUUAAU